AACGCACCUUGCGCUCCUUGGUAUUCCGAGGAGCAUGCCUGUUUGAGUGUCAUUAAUAUAUCAACCUCCUCAGGUUUUUACUUGUCGAGUGUUUGGAUGUGGGGGUCUCUUUUGCUGGUCUCUUUUGAGUUCAGCUCCCCUGAAAUGCAUUAGCGGGAACAAUUUGUUGACUCGUUCAUUGGUGUGAUAACUAUCUACGCUAUUGACGUGAAAUCAGCUUCCGCUUCUAACAGUCCAUUGACUUGGACAAAAUUUCAUUAAUGUGACCUCAAAUCAGGUAGGACUACCCGCUGAACUUAA
RNAcentral lists this unclassified non-coding RNA (300 nucleotides) under Hyphodiscosia sp. RNAcentral describes it as "partial contains 5.8S ribosomal RNA, internal transcribed spacer 2, and large subunit ribosomal RNA". The stretch from base 1 to 52 matches the Rfam family "5.8S ribosomal RNA", at positions 103 to 154 of the family's 154-position model. RNAcentral also lists the same sequence under 1 other name. Lineage: Eukaryota; Fungi; Ascomycota. The record is from RNAcentral.